This 1555-nucleotide long non-coding RNA is filed under the name Phaseolus vulgaris (common bean). Its description in RNAcentral is "long non-coding RNA (PVUL_LNC000426)". The record is from RNAcentral. Lineage: Eukaryota; Viridiplantae; Streptophyta; Magnoliopsida; Fabales; Fabaceae.
UGAAAGUUAGCUGGAAAUUUCAUUGAAGAAAAUAAAGCAAGAAAAACAAAGAUUGAUUGAUAAUCAACAGCUAUUGCUUGACCAUGGAACCAUGGAUUGAAGUAAAGUCAUCACUUAUUGCAAUUUGUUAAAUGUUAACUCUUCCCUAUCUGCGUUCACGCUUCACCCUUCAUUCACUUAAUUAAGCUCUGCUUCAAAUUUUCAGACAUUUCUUUUGUUUGAUUAGUUACUUCCUUCCCAACCAUGCUAGUGAUAGAAACACUUGGUGGUGCUCUUUUCGGUGCUGUUUGACAGGCUGAAUUCUCGUCAAGUUCUGGACUACUUUCGUGGAAGAAAGGUCGAUGUGAAGCUUCUGAAGAAGUUGAAGAGGAAGCUGGUGUCUGUUAAUGCUGUGGUUGAUGAUGCAGAACAGAAGCAGUUCAGAGAUACGUAUGUGAAGGCAUGGCUUGAUCAGGUCAGAGAUGUGUUGCUUGAUACAGAGGAUCUGAUGGAUGAAAUAGAGUAUGAAUUCUCUAGAUCUGAGUUGGAAGUUCAAUCCAGAGCAGUUCUAGCAAGGUAUGCAGUUUUGAAUCCAAGAUUGUAGAAGUCCUUGAUGGCCUUGCUCAACAUGUGUACAAUGACCCAAUGAUAGAGGCUAAAUUUGCUAUCAAAGGUUGGAUUUGUGUUUCAAAUGAAUUUGAUGUUUUUAUGGUAACAAAAAGUAAUUGUUGGGGCAAUCACUAAGUCAAAAGAUGAUAGUGUAGACCAUUUCUGUACACCUAGAAAUGGUCCAGGGACGAUUGAAAGAAACGUUGACAGGAAGGAAAGUUUCUCCUCGUUCUUGAUGAUGUCUGGAACAAACAUCGAGACCAGUGAAAAUCAUUGCAAACUACUCUUAAAUAUGGGACUAAGGGAAGUAAAAUUCUCAUCACAACACGCAGUAACAAAGUUGCUUCUACCAUGGACUUAAACAAUAUUCACCAACUAAAGCAAUUACAAAAAGAUAAGAGCUAUCAAGUUUUUUCUAAACAUGCAUUUUGCAUUUCAAAAUGAUAACUCUAAGUUGAAUUAUGUGUUGAAAGAGAUUGGCAUGAAGAUAGUAGAAAAGUGUCAACGACUAACUCUGGCUCUUGAAACAAUAGAAUCUCUUUUACUGUCAAAGUCAUUUGUUUCAGAGUGGGAAAGUGUACUAAGAAGCAACAUAUGGGACUUACGGAUUGAAGAUAGUAAAACUAUCCUCGCUUUGUUGUUGAGCUAUUACCAUCCUCCUUCUCAUCUUAAGAGAUGUUUCGCUUAUUGUGCGUUAUUCCCCAAAUACCAUAAGUUUGAGAAGGAGAGCUUAAUUCUCUCAUGGAUGACUCAGAAUUUCCUACAAUGUUCUCAGCAGAGUGAGUCUCUAGAAGAAAUAGGUGAACAAUACUUCAAUGAUCUAUUAUCAAGGUCAUUCUUUUAGCAGUCAAUUUGGUACACCAGAACAUGUUUUCUGAUGCACGACCUUCUGAAUGAUUUAGCGAAAUAUGUUUCUGGUGAAAUCUGCUACAGGUUGGGUGUUGAUAGACCAGGAAGCGUACCAAAG